RNAcentral lists this ribosomal RNA (481 nucleotides) under uncultured bacterium. RNAcentral's name for it is "SSU rRNA". It matches the Rfam family "Bacterial small subunit ribosomal RNA", at positions 26 to 518 of the family's 1533-position model. The record is from RNAcentral.
AGGACGAACGCUGGCGGUGUGCUUAACACAUGCAAGUGGAGCGACGAACCAGGGCUUGCCCUGGGGCAGAGCCGCGAACGGGUGAGUAACACGUGGGUAACCUACCCCGAUGACCGGGACAACCCGAGGAAACUCGGGCUAAUACCGGAUGUGUCCCAUCUUCAUGAGGAGAUGGAGCAAAGGAAGCUUCGGCCUCCGCAUUGGGAGGGGCCCGCGGCCCAUUAGCUAGUUGGUGGGGUAACGGCCUACCAAGGCAGCGAUGGGUAGCUGGUCUGAGAGGACGAUCAGCCACACUGGGACUGAGACACGGCCCAGACUCCUACGGGAGGCAGCAGUGGGGAAUCUUGCACAAUGGGCGAAAGCCUGAUGCAGCAACGCCGCGUGCGGGAAGAAGGCCCUCGGGUUGUAAACCGCUUUCAGAAGGAACGAAACUGACGGUACUUUCAGAAGAAGGUGCGGCCAACUACGUGCCAGCAGCCGC